GAGACUGGAGAGGCCUAGAAGCGGGUGGGGAAGGGCAGGGCCAGAGAAGCAGGGAGAGAUGCAGAGAGAGACAGAGAUGCGGCGGGAGGCCCGAGUUGCUGUGGUGGGGUGGGGGUGGACCGGCAGAAAAAGGAUAAGGGAAUAAAUUAAAAGAAUAACCUGGGGAGAGGUGCUGUGAAUCCCUUUACACCAGGAGACAUAGAUAGAUUUUGUUUUGUGUCUGAGUAUCCGUGUGAGCCCGUGCACGACCACCUCCGGAUGUGUUUGUGAGUGCCUGCAGGAGGCUCUGUGGACCCUAGAAAUAAGCAAGACUGACCCUCUAGGUGGCUUUUGGGAUACACCCAAGCCUAGCUGAGGAGGACAAGGGGCUUGUGUUUUGGCACAGCCUUCCCCACUCUAAGUUUGAGAGUCCCUGGGCAGUGGUGGGUCUCAGAGCUCUGCUUUUCUACCUCCAGAGACAGAGUGCUCACUACCCCACCUGAGACCUCCUGGCUUAUCUUUAGAUGGCUCUGACUGUUAAGAACGAAAUUCAUCCUUCUUGAGAGGGGAAUGCUGGUACUCCUGAGGGUCAGAUUCAGCUGCACCUCAUGCCUACAACACCCACAUCUCUACCUGCAAGCCAGAUCCUGCUCCUCAAAGGCACCACCUGCCAUAUGCCUGAGCACUGAGCUGGGCACCAAGAAUACAGAGACAAAAGACGCCAUCAGAGAUAUGAGGAAACUGAAGCACAGAGUUAAAAUAACUUACUCAAAGCAGGAGCUGAGAUCCAAUCCAGGCAGAAAUCCUGGACUAUUGAAACAUUCUCAGCUGGUAUCUGCCUCCCUGGGGGCUCACCCCAGCUCUUCUCUUCACCCAAACCAGAGUGAAUGUCAUGCAGCAGAGACUGGAUCAUGGUGCUGACUUUGUAGAUACAUUUUGGGAGGACUGAUGUCAUUACAAUAUUGAGUCUUCCUAUCCAUUUACAUGGUAUAUCUAUCCAUUAGCUUAGGACUUUAAAGUCUUUCGAUAAAAUUUUUAUCUCAUAAAGGAGAUAAAUUAACAUAUUUUUAGAAGAUUUACUUAGGCCUUAUAUACUUCUGUAAACAGUGAUUUUACAUUUCCUAAUAGUUUGUUGCUAUGAUUUAUAAUGGCAAUUUAUUUUAAGGUAUUUCUCUUAUUCCACCAAACUUGCCUCCACAUACAGCCAGAGCCAGAGACCCAGCUGUCAUCUAGGACCCUGCUACUCCCUCACCAUUCCUUCCAAUCUGCAACCUUGUCUGAUAGCUUCUGUCUCUUGAGUGGAUGUUUUAUCCCCACCAGCUCUCAGUGUAGGCCUCAGUGUAGGCCAUGUUAUUUUUGGCCUGCGGUGAUUCCUAACUGAUUUCCCAAUCAACCUUCACAUAGUCAGGGCUACUACCAACCCUUACUGCACCCUUGUGCGAAGAGAAAAGGUAUCCCUUCCUCAUGGCACUCUACCUCCAUCCAGCAGAUAACUUGUAAUAAAUAUUCAAAUAUGUGAUGUCCACAAUGUGGUUGGUGGCCCUCUCGUGUGGUGCCUUGUGUACCGCUCACCAGCACAGCCAUCUGUGGUGAGGGUUUGAUCACAGCAUUCUGUUAUGGGCUGAAUGUCUACAUCCUCCCCCAGUUCAUAUGUUGAAGGCCUAACCCCCAACGUAACAGCAUCAAGAGGUAGGUCCUUGGGAGGUAAUCAUGUUUAGAUGAGGUGCUAAGGGUAGAGCCACUCAUGGGAUUAGUGCCCUUACAAGAAAAGGAAGAGACUCCAGAGCCUCCUCUCUCUGCCAUGUGAGGACACAGCAAGAAGGCC
Equus caballus (horse) is the source of this 1804-nucleotide long non-coding RNA. RefSeq lists it as uncharacterized. NCBI's taxonomy places the organism in Eukaryota, Metazoa, Chordata, Mammalia, Perissodactyla, Equidae. The record is from RefSeq and is a predicted model, not a curated record.